CCUUCUUUUUUUUUUUUUACUUUUGAAACUAGCUCUUACGUCAUCAUUGAUUAUUUUAUUGUUCUAGCAAAAGUUGUAUGGGGUUCAGCAAAUGUUACUAGACAUUUUUUUUUCUUAUAUUGAACUUUCUUAGCUUUGGUUACUGCAACUAUGGCUAAUUCUGAUCAUUUAGCUGUUUGAAAAAUUGAUUAUCUAAUGCUUUGGCGCUAUUGCCCUAUUAAACGAAAGAAAAUGAGUAGAGGUACUAAUGAUUUUUGUAUUUUGGAAGAACGCAUUCUGGUGUAAGCCAAGAGCAGUGCCAGAGCUAAAGGUAAAGAAGGACGUUCAAUUGAAUUCCUUUCGUCCAAUCCGACUGUGCAACUAGGGUAAUUUUUUUUUUGGUUUGUAUAUAUAUAAACUGUUGAAUCCCCUUAACAUAAGGGAAGCUUCUAGGUAUAAUAUUCUUGCAUUUUUGAAUCCCAUUGUUAGGGUUCUUGCUCCGCCACUGGCCAAGAGGCAAGCUUUCAUGAUUCACACUUAAACCAA
Nicotiana tabacum (common tobacco) is the source of this 525-nucleotide non-coding RNA. The record is from RefSeq and is a predicted model, not a curated record. Lineage: Eukaryota; Viridiplantae; Streptophyta; Magnoliopsida; Solanales; Solanaceae.